Molecule: transfer RNA, 63 nt
Filed under: Leptaulax koreanus
Lineage: Eukaryota; Metazoa; Arthropoda; Insecta; Coleoptera; Passalidae
Description: tRNA-Cys
Source: RNAcentral
AAUCUUAUAUUCAUUUUAGUGAUUUUAAAUUGCAAAUUUAAAGGGAAAGAAAUUUUAAGGUUU